CGCGUAACACGUAGGCAACCUGCCCCAAAAGUGGGGGACAACAGCUUGAAAGAGCUGCUAAUACCGCAUGUGGCCCUUUGGUGGCAUCACCAUUGGUCUAAAGCUUUAUGCGCUUUUGGAUGGGCUUGCGGCCUAUCAGGUAGUUGGUGGGGUAAUGGCCUACCAAGCCGACGACGGGUAGCUGGUCUGAGGGGACGAUCAGCCGGAUUGGGACUGAGAUACGGCCCAG
This 229-nucleotide ribosomal RNA is filed under the name uncultured bacterium. Its description in RNAcentral is "partial 16S ribosomal RNA". It matches the Rfam family "Bacterial small subunit ribosomal RNA", at positions 107 to 334 of the family's 1533-position model. The record is from RNAcentral.